CUACGUGCCAGCAGCCGCGGUAAUACGGAAGGUCCAGGCGUUAUCCGGAUUUAUUGGGUUUAAAGGGAGUGUAGGCGGUCUGUUAAGCGUGUUGUGAAAUUUAGGUGCUCAACAUCUACCUUGCAGCGCGAACUGGCGGACUUGAGUGCACGCAACGUAUGCGGAAUUCAUGGUGUAGCGGUGAAAUGCUUAGAUAUCAUGACGAACUCCGAUUGCGAAGGCAGCGUACGGGAGUGUUACUGACGCUUAAGCUCGAAGGUGCGGGUAUCGAACAGGAUUAGAUACCCUGGUAGUCCGCACGGUAAACGAUGGAUGCCCGCUGUUAGCGCCUGGCGUUAGCGGCUAAGCGAAAGCAUUAAGCAUCCCACCUGGGGAGUACGCCGGCAACGGUGAAACUCAAAGGAAUUGACGGGGGCCCGCACAAGCGGAGGAACAUGUGGUUUAAUUCGAUGAUACGCGAGGAACCUUACCCGGGCUUGAAUUGCAGACGAACGAUUCAGAGA
This 503-nucleotide ribosomal RNA is filed under the name uncultured bacterium. RNAcentral describes it as "bacterial SSU rRNA". It matches the Rfam family "Bacterial small subunit ribosomal RNA", at positions 501 to 1006 of the family's 1533-position model. The record is from RNAcentral.